ACCAAAACUAGCUCAAAACAUAUUAAAACUAAACCAGAAUUACAACUACAAAUAAAACAUUUAUGUAAUAAAAGUAUAGGAGAUAGAAAUUUAUUAAUUGACGCUAUAGAGAUAGUACCGCAAGGGAAAGAUGAAAUAUUAUUUAAUAGUACAGCAAAGCAUAGACUAAUACUAGUACCUUUUGCAUAAUGAUUUAACAAGAAUAACCCUAGCAAAGCGAACUUAGUUAGACACCCCGAAACCAGACGAGCUACUUAGAGACAGUUUUCAGAACCAACCCGUCUAUGUUGCAAAAUAGUGGGACGAUCUCUAAGUAGAGGUGAAAAGCCUAACGAGCCUGGUGAUAGCUGGUUAUCCAAAUAUGAAUUUAAGUUCUACUUUAAAUAUACCUAAACAAACUACAAUGCAUAUGUAUAUUUAAAAGCUACCCUAUAGAGGUACAGCUCUCUAGGUAUAAGGGAACAACCUAUUUUAGUGAAUAAACUACUUUUAUCAUACUUAGUGGGCCUGAAAGCAGCCAUCACUCAAAAAAGCGUUAAAGCUUAAUAAUUAAACUAAUUAUAAUCCAAAACUCUAAACUUAAUUCCUACAACCAAUAUUGGAUAAUUCUACUACUCAGUAGAAGCUACACUGUUAAUAUGAGUAACAAGAAAUAAUUCUCCUUGCAUAAGCCUACAUCUAACACCUUGUUUCGAUAAUUAAACAACAUAAUAGUCUCAAUCCACCCAUAAACAAGCUAUCAACCCACUGUUAACCCCACAUAGGAAUGCAAACAGGAAAGAUUAAAAGAAAUGAAAGGAACUCGGCAAACACAAGCCCCGCCUGUUUACCAAAAACAUCACCUCUAGCAUAUUAAGUAUUAGAGGCAACGCCUGCCCAGUGACACCUGUUCAACGGCCGCGGUAUACUGACCGUGCAAAGGUAGCAUAAUCACUUGUUCCUUAAUUAGGGACUUGUAUGAAUGGCUUAACGAGGGCUUUACUGUCUCUCUAAUCUAAUCAGUGAAAUUGACCUUCUCGUGAAGAGGCAAGAAUGAAAAAAUAAGACGAGAAGACCCUAUGGAGCUUUAACUAUUUUUUAAUAAUAACAAUCCCAAGUACAAUCUUAGUACCUAACUAAUAAUUAAUAUAAAUUCAAAAGUUUUGGUUGGGGUGACCUCGGAGCAUAAAAAAACCUCCGAAUGACUACAACUCUGACUAACAAGUCUAGGUAAUAUUAGUCAUCAAUUGACCCAUUUUUUGAUCAAUGAACCAAGUUACCCUAGGGAUAACAGCGCAAUCCUAUUCAAGAGUUCUUAUCGACAAUUUAGGGUUUACGACCUCGAUGUUGGAUCAGGACAUCCUAAUGGUGUAGCAGCUAAUAAUGGUUCGUUUGUUCAACGAUUAAAGUCCUACGUGAUCUGAGUUCAGACCGGAGUAAUCCAGGUCGGUUUCUAUCUAUUAUAGGUUUCUCCCAGUACGAAAGGACAAGAGAAAUAGAGCCUACUGAAAUUCAGCGCUCUAAAGAAAAAAUAUGACAUACUAAUUAAUAUUGAAUACUUUCAUCAAUCACAAUUAAAGAAAAUAAUUCA
Molecule: ribosomal RNA, 1570 nt
Filed under: Pedetes capensis (springhare)
Lineage: Eukaryota; Metazoa; Chordata; Mammalia; Rodentia; Pedetidae
Description: l-rRNA
Rfam family: Bacterial large subunit ribosomal RNA
Source: RNAcentral